Molecule: long non-coding RNA, 1715 nt
Organism: Chenopodium quinoa (quinoa)
Lineage: Eukaryota; Viridiplantae; Streptophyta; Magnoliopsida; Caryophyllales; Amaranthaceae
Exons: 5
Source: RefSeq, a predicted model, not a curated record
CGAAACAGGGGAUGUGUUGCUCUUUAUUAUUUUUUUGGGCCACGAAAUAUAACUUGGUUGCCUAUUACAAUAGUAGGGAGACAAAUAACUUAAUUCGUUGUAUAUUUUUAUUAAAAAAAAAGUUGAGUGGUAUUUUAUUUGGUUUCCCAAAUCCCACUAAAAAUUUGGCGGAAUAAAUACCGCUUUCAUUGAAAUUCCCCCAAAAAAACUCAUAAGACUAUUGAUGCAAAAAUUUCAGUACUGCUUCCCCUAAAAAAAUUAAAUAAAUAAAUAAAAAGUAAAAAAUAAAAAUUAGUAUUGCUAAAAGAACUAACCCUUUACCCACGAUCAAACAAUUUUCCCUUCUCAUUCGUUAUAAAAAAAUCCCCAAUUUCUCUUCUCUUUGCUUUGAUUAAACCGAAAGCGCUAUUGAAGAGCGGUGACGAGCGGUUUGGAUUCAAGGCAAUUGACGGUGGUGAGGCAGCGGUGACAGCGAAUUUAAGGUUGACGCAUUGACAGCGAUGAGGUAGCAGCAAAAUGUCAAUCAUACCAACAUCAUCGGAGAAAAAUCAACAAGAAAAUGAGAUUCAACAACCACCACAAAGGUUAACUUAUCAUAAGCAGUGAAGGAUUGACCAAGCUGAGCUUUGGAAAAAAUGUCCUGAUCAUAAGAGGCGUGUUCCUACAAGGGGCUUAAAAUAUGCUUAUAAAAGGGAAAAAAAUCUAGACAAAAAAAAUUACAAUAACCUUCAUGGAUGAGCUUCGACAUGUGGUUGGUGAAAAGGCAAAUGAGUUCAUAUGCGAUUGUAGCAAUUGGGUCGAAGAGUUUUGUCCUUUAGAUGCAUUGUAUGUCUAAGCUUGCCAAAAUUAAUUUCACUUAUCUAACAAACAUGUCUUAAAUAGCACAUCUAUGUGAUUUAUGAUUUUUUUUCAAAAAAAAAAAUUGGUAGAAAUUGGGCUAAAAUUGAUUCUUCUGCAAAGAAAAGUUUGUAUGACAAGAUUUUGGGAAAAUACAAUUUACCUGAAAAGGUUGGUGGUGCGUACGUCAUUGAUGCAUUGAGCUUUCAAUGCUCUAUCCUAUAUAGGCAUUGGAGGUUAAGACUAAAGAAAAAAAUACUAUAGAGGUAAAACUAAGGCAGAGGCUAGAGACAAUAGACCUCCAACUAUUGAUCCGACAUAAUGGGAUUGUUUUUUUACAAGAAUUGGAGUUCCCCAAAACAAGAGCUUAAUGAGCCACCAAAUUUCUCCACUCAAGAUGAAGAGCCAUCCGAACAUGCAGAAGUACAACAACAAGAUCCCAUCUACGUGAGAUUAUAUGAGAAGACCAAAAAGAAUGUUUAUUCAAUUAUUUUUUAACAAAGAGCAAUGAAUAUUUUUUUUAAGGAGGGACUCUCCGCGAUUUCUUUUGGACUGCAUUUAACACAGUCAGAGCAUCAGAUUUUGUUAUGCAUCAAAGUGUUGCAUAAAAAAAAUGCUUCCAUAAUUGAUGUUGCAUAUUGGUGGGAUUGGCUAGCUAGGCCUUUAAGAUUUGAUGAAAAUUAGUCUGAUGGUUAUAUAAAAUUGGGUUCCACUACUUAGAAUCAUGAGACAGUAGUACAAAACUAGACAUUAAGAUGACUGCAAAAGAAUUGUUUUAAUAGCUAGUGUUCCACACUGAUUUUCCCCCGCUUGGCAACAAGUCUUAUAUUUUUGUACAAAUGAUGACGUUAUUUCACUAUGCAUUUAUGUUUCAUGGA